GCUGACGACUGUGUGGUGCUGAGCGCAGGUGUUCUACAUCAGCGCGACUGCGUAGACGGCUUUAAAAGGAAGCGGCUGACUGCACCUCUUCGCCAGAGUAUUAGCCAUACGUGCUGGACAGCGCUUUGCAGAUCCCUCGUGAACUAUCCAGUUCUGAAACCGAGCUGACAUCCCCCUGUCCAGAUCCCAGCAGGGCCGAGCGUGUCUCUCCCAGAUCCGCCCUCCUGCCGAAAAGUAAACCGAAAAUGUCGCCGCCUCCUGCAUCUAACCGGCGCGCCGACCAGCAGCUAGCCAUCAGCACCGAUCCGCAGUCCGAUCACCGGAACCCUGCCAGCCCCCCAUCCUCCCUCUCUCUGUUCCAGAGCUUCAGUGUGUCCCUGCGUGUUCGGCGGCUCCAAAGGAACUCCCGCGAUCGUUUCCUGUUUAAUUAAAUAAACUUUGUAAACCGUC
Molecule: long non-coding RNA, 450 nt
Organism: Fundulus heteroclitus (mummichog)
Lineage: Eukaryota; Metazoa; Chordata; Actinopteri; Cyprinodontiformes; Fundulidae
Exons: 2
Source: RefSeq, a predicted model, not a curated record